Long non-coding RNA from Oxyura jamaicensis (ruddy duck), 8652 nucleotides. RefSeq lists it as uncharacterized. Lineage: Eukaryota; Metazoa; Chordata; Aves; Anseriformes; Anatidae. The transcript has 4 exons. The record is from RefSeq and is a predicted model, not a curated record.
CAUCUUGCUUUUAGUGAAAGGUAUCCUUGGAUGACCAAAAGAAUGACAGGGACAUAUCUCGAGUGACAAAUGUUGAUCUCUUGAGACAGUACAAAUAGUUCUAUUCUUCUAAAUAAUGACAUUUUUCUUUUUGCAAAUUUAAAAAAGUAUGUCUUUAAUAAGCUGAUUUUUACAGUUGCGUUCAAAACUGAUGAACAACAUCUCCACUACUGAAAAAUUAUACUUAAGCCCGUCAUCCGUAAGGCAGUUUACUCAAAAAGCAUACUACAUCAGGUAGAGAUGAAUGCCAUGAUUACUUUUAUAAGAUAAUGGAGCCCUGACUUUUUCCAGCUCUGUUUGCACAUUAGCCUGAAAUGAACUUUAUUGCUCAGUGGUUUCAUUUGCAUCAUCAUUUUCAGUCACUAACCCAUAAAAAAUACACACUCAAAUUCCCUGAUCACUUUUGAGCACUUCCUGUAUUAGAAAAGGAUUUCACAACUGCUUCUGAACUGAGUACUUUCUGCCUUCAUUUGAAGUAUUGGCUUACUUUAGGCAUUUGUUAUUAAGACACUUGUAAUGUUUUUUGCCAUAUUUUCAUGACGUGUCUUUUCCUCCUUGACUGUUGUGCCUUUUUGUGUUAUCUGCAGGGACAGCCUCAGCCCUGGUGGAUCAAGCCCCAUCAUCAGGCUUCACCAACAUGGAGUUAUACCAGCAUGAGUGGAAUGUGAGAUAGGGUUACGGUUUCUUUUCCAGUGUAGCCACAUUGCACAAUUCCUAGUGUGCACCAUUUAUAGAAGGACGAAUGGCUCUAGCUUGUUCUGCAGUUCUAAGAGAGAGCAAACUGUUACAAGGUAAGCACCUUUUUAUUGAUAUGCCACAGAUCACACAAGAUAAUCUUACUCUUCUAAAUUCUGUGGAAUAAAAUGGUGCAAUUUUGGUGUGUAAACAAGUUCUUCUAAGCCAAAAGCUUAAAACCUGGUCCCUCGGGUCACUGUAUUCCUCCAUUGCUUUCCUUCACCCCUAUUUCAGGCCAUCUAUACAAAGUAUGUAGAUAGCGGCACGCUGCGGAUCGGGUGUCUCGGACAGCUGGCAACACGCUUGGAGUACAUGCAUAGCACCAGUAAUUCCAAAUGCAAGAGCAAACCCAAAGACUUUAAGAGGUUUCAUAAGGUUUGCUUACUAGUAAUGUUUUUUCCAGGUGCUGUUUCCAUGUGUUUGAAAGUUUGAAAAACGUGUUCUUGCUUUCAAAUUGAAUAGAUGAUGAACAUUGCAAAGCAGGCAUGGUACUGAUCACAUACCAGCACUUUUUUCAGCUUUCUGAAGUCCUGAAGGACACUCUGGGAAGUAUUACUUUUUUUUGCCAACAGUUCUAUAAUAUAGUUUCUAUUUAUUUGCACAUACAGUUUGUUAUGCCAUCUAUGCAGAGGCUUUUUUUUGGGGGGGGUGGGGCGGAGUGGGUAAGGAAAAUAUUUGUGAGAAGAGGUAAUUGGAGCCAAAGCAAGUAAACCUGACAUGAUAAAAUCUGGAAACUAUAUAGCAAAGAUACUUCCCACUUCUUCUAUUGAAAAACAAUGCCCACGAUUUCUCCUGUUUUCCUAUUGUACGGUAAAGUAUUUCUUCAUAUUGCAAGUUACUUUUAAGUAUCUCAGUUAUGGUUUUGUGUACCUUUUUAAAGCAAGACUGUGCAUAUGACAAUGUCUCUGAUGGUAGCAGAUGGAAAUACCAGCAGAGUUUCUGUCACGAUAUGGUAAUUGCUAAACCAAUAAAGCAAACUCACAUGGUUGCAUCUUGUAGCUGUCUGUUUUAACUGUUUAACUAUGCUCCCUCUAAAUGUGUUUACAACUUAGAAAACAAACUGUAGGUUGGUCUUGAGGGUCCUUUGUUGCAACAUAUAAAUAAAAUAUGUUGUUUUUUCCUACCCAAAAGUGGUGACGUAAUUUCAAUAGUCAGUUGCCUUAAGUGUAGCUAUCUGAAGUUCAGACUAUUGAAAAUAAAAUUUAAAUCAGAUUACAUAGGAGGUUUGGGACAGAAUUGAGAUAAUUUAGUUUCAUUAUUUAAUCACAGCAUGACAGGCGUAUGCAUUUAUUGAUGUAAUACUGCUGACAAGAAGAGUCAAUGCAUACAAAAAGACCAUUGGAAGCAGCAGCUGCCUCUGUCAACCGAUUAAAAAUCAAGGGAGAUUUUAAAGUAUGUUUCUAUUAAUUUAAAAUGUAAUCGUUUUACGUAGAAGGGUUUUAAUUACACUUAGUCUCAAUGUCCUCAUUAUGCACUCAGAUGGACUAAAUAUCCAUGAUCCUUGAAUAAAAUGUGGUUCGACAAAAAAGAAAGUGGGAGAAUAGCAGAAAAGAGAUUUUAAAGGAGUGGUAAAUAAUCUAGAAUGAAGACAUCGUGUCUGCGCAAUUUUCACAGCACAAUUGUGAAUGUCAGAUAACAGCAACUAGAUUUUCACUGGGGGCUUUUCAUUCUUAAAGAUAAUAACACAUCAGAAAUACAUUCAGGUUAGUUAGCAGACUUAUAAAAUUGUUUAAAUUCUCGAAACCUCUGAGCAGAGUCUGUCUCGUGAAAAUGCCCCACUGGUUUUCUGUUACGUAUACCUCAAAUGGCAAUGCAGUGAGACCGAGGACACACGGCUCUCGUAUUUCCAAUUUAUAAUUCUGGGUUAUUUCUUGUUCUGAAAAGUUCAUUGCAGAAUAUAACACCUUUUGCCUUUCAUUUUCCCUUUUUAUAUCAAACCGUUGAUAGAAAAAAAAUAAUAAAAAAAAGCUGACUGUUAGGGUCUUACUUCUGUACAAAAUAAUAUGCUAAAAAUAUAUAUACACUGAGAUUAUUUAGAUUCUCAUUAAGUGUGCCACAUCCAGAAGACCAAGCUGAGGUUGCCUGUCCAAACACAGUUCUGUCUUCUGCUCUGGGCAAGAAAACGUGUGGUUAUGUGUAAAUUACACAGUCAAUUAUCAGGCUGUCAUGUCUUAAUUUUGAGCAUUUGAUCUUGCUGUUCUUUCAUUGAAGGCUGGAGUAUUUCUGUGGAUCAUGGAGUUGUUUUUAUUAAUUUGUUUCAGAGGAAAGUUAAUUGCCAAUUCAAAAUCACACGCUGAGUGAAACAGAUUUCUGCUGUAUUCCAUGGCUUUGAUUGAACUCUGGGACAGGAGAAGAAUAUUUUAAGAAAUUGCACUGUGUGGAAACAAAGAACACAAAGACAAUGGGAGAGAAAUAAAUGCUUGUGACUGAUCUGAGGCAGAAGAGCCACAUUUGCAACUAGAGCUGGGGGGCCGAGAUUUGAUUAAAAAAGCACAGAUUGUGACUGGGACAGCGCAGCGAGAGACUACUUCCAGACACAGAAAUAAAUCUUGUAGGCAGCUUCAAACCAUGCACAGUCUGGACGGUGAGGCAGACAGCAGCUCUUCCCAGAACUGCUGGAGAGCGUUUCCGCAGAAGCUGAGCGGACGGACUGUCAUUUUCAGAGCCGGUAGGAAGAGCUUUGUUAAUCUGAAGUAGGAGUCAAGUGCACAAGUCCCCGCUGCAGCUGCAAGAGACGCGUUAGCUUUGGAAGAAAAGCCACAAUCGGCAGAAGGUGAAUGAGUGAAACUCAAGUCUCAGUCGUAACAGUGAGAAUAUGUGAGCACGAAGUGGGGAAAUGUUUGCCUCGUCUCGCUGCCUCUGUGGAGGGAAGCUGUCUUGCUGCAGAAGUGUGAAAUCUGGAGAGCAGCACUUAUGCAUCACAGGCGAUAAUAAAAAGUGAAAGCCUGUAGAUGCAGCCGAGUCACAGGCUCUGGCAGUCAUCAGGAGGCAUGGGAAGGCAUUUCUCUUUGUAUAUGAGAGGUUAGCUUUAGGCAGAGCUGAUCACAAACUGUGUCAAAGAGGGCUUGGCAAAAACUUCCCUAUGUUUUCAUCUACAAAUCCUUGUUUACAAGCAGACCGCAGCUUCAUAAUAAACUGUAUUGGUGGCAGACUCACUGUCUUCAGCCUUCAACAGAAGUUCGGUAGGACAAAGUCUACAGAGCUCGUUUAUACAUACAUUGAUCUGAUUUAAAACAAACAAAGAAGUAAACCCGAUUAGUCUCAGAGGGAACAUGGAGUCUGAUUAACUAAAUUAUUUGUGAAGUUAGUAUCCUAGAGAAAGUCCUGAAGAUAUUGCCACAGAAUUACGAGAACAGCAUUUCCCAGCUCCUACAAUUAAAGGGACAGUUUGCAAAUUUGUCUGGGUUUAACUUUGAAGGAACAAGGACAGAAAUUCUUAAGUUGUUACAUUAAAAUACAUUACAAUGGAUCUCUGAAGCAGAGAUGACCGAAAGAGUCCAAGCUGGUAUCAGGGGAAUUGCUGGCCUCCUGAAGCAAAACAGGCACAGUUUUGUUGAGAUGGGCUGAAAAAGUAAUUUAGCUCCAUGUGUUGCACAGCAGCUGAGGACUGCUGCCAUUUGGCAGUCUCUCCAGACUAUUAAAGGAAGAAUUUCAGUCCACUCGCCAGUUGUUUUUUACAAGGAAGGGGGCAAGGGAAUCCCUUGUGAUGUUUGAUAUCGAUGUUCAUCAGUAAGGAUGAAGAGCAGCUCCUGCUUGCCACACCACUUCAAAGGAGGAGCCCAGGUGGAGAGACAUGCUGUGUCACCUGCGGCGUGACUUGUCUAUCAGCAGCUAAAGGGCACAUCAAAUCAACUCUCUGCCUACUCCAGAUUAGAAAAACUGGGGCUACAGAAGACUUGUGAAAAAUCCUAAUAUCUGGCUGUGAAAUUGCUUACACCCAUUUCGCGCCGAUGUAGAACCGAGGACGCCAGGGAAAUUACUGCAGAAUUAUACUGAUAAAGGGGAGCCAUUCUCUACUGAGCCGUCUUGUGCAAAAGCAAAUGCAAAGGGAAUUUAGACCCUGUUUAACAACCUGCAGGUACAUCAGAAGGGUAAUUGAAUCCCUACCAUGUGCGUGUAGAUGCAAAAAGGAGAUGUGUACAGCUGGAAAGGGGAGCGUCCAUGCUUUCUCCUGCCAACGUUAGCUCUGCUCACUGUCUCUAGGACCUGGUGCAGCACAUCUCUGAAGCCCUCUUGCAGAAACAGGAAGCGCGGCGGUGCUGGAUGGGGAAAUGGCAGCGGCGCUCCAAGGCCUGCUCGCUGCUUCUCUCUCCAACGCUCUCAGGGAGGAGCUGGCUAGGACCUGUCUUCUAGGGCAGCAUAUGGUUUGCUAAACUUUUCUGCAACUGUAGGAUGGCGUGCGUCCAGGCAGCUUUCAUUCCCUGCCAGAAUUUUAAAGAAAUGUUAACAAUGUUUACACUUUUCAGUUUUGACAGUCUCUAAAAAUUGCCUGUUUAAACCUUCUCUCCCUCUCUGACAACACAAGAUCCAGCUACUCCUUCAGUGCCACAGCACUUACCCAUUGUCACCGCAGGACUCGGAGGAGAGCAAUCCCACCAGCAGGGUCGCUCACCCCUGCCACACCGGUGCAGCCUCGGUCCGUGCUGCAGCUCCUUGAGCUCAGGGUGCUCGAGUAAGUGCCUGUGCCACCUACAACUGCGAAAUGGGAACAUUUCCACGCGCGACAAAUUCAGUGCCUGGCAUCUAUUUGGGGGAGUGGCAGCUUGCGCAACAGAGGGACUGGGGUUUGAGAGCUGAGGAGCUUUGGUAUUGUUCAGCCUUUCGGCUUUUAAAAAGGGGGAGAUUGUGUUCAGGGGAUAUAUCAACUGAAUCUGUAAGCAGGCGCAGCACGCUUGCUUGACAAAGGGUUGAGACUUGACAGUCAAAUCUACAGAUAAGAAACCUCCCCUCACAAGUAGAUUGGAUGCUUUCUUCUCAUCCCCCUUUUACCUGAAUAAACACAUCUCUGCCGUCAGAACGAUGAAGCCUGGCUUGGACGGUGUGGGGCAGACUAAUGAAAGCCAUGGAAAGUUCCUCCCUCACUAGGCUUAGAAAAGGAAGAUAACGAGACAUCUGGGAGAUGCUGCUAGUGGAAUCCGACAGCACACCAGGGGGUGUUUAAACGAAAUGUAAAGACCGAUAUUUUUCGCAAGGUUAAGGACAGAGACCACAGCCAGAAUGCUUUGCUUCCAAAUGGACAUCUGGCAAAUAUUGAUCUACAAUUGUAUUUAGUGUGGAAUGGAAAGUACAGGUUGUGACAUGAGCAGUCAAUAGUUUUUUAGACCAUUGAUCCUUACAGUGGCUAUUGAUUGUUUUUUAGGCUAUAGCACAAUCUAUUUUUUCAUUUAGCUUAGCUUAAACUAAUUGGAUUGCAACUCGUGUGCCUGUGUAUGUGAAAAGGGGCUCGACAUGCAUUAGCAAUAUAUAAAAAAAUGCUCAUUUUUAAGGUUUUUUUUUUUUUUUUUUUUUUCUUCCCCUAUCAUUUAGUAGGACCACUCAGUUACAACUUUGAUAAGACAAAGUGAACGCUUGCUUCAAGGGAGUCCAGAUGUCACCAUUUCCCUUCUGCUGCAUGACCUGAACAUUCCUCCCCCUCCCCCCCCAAAAUUCUAUUUCUAUGAAAAAAACAACUGCUAGAAUGAGCACACGAGGGAUCUAGCUGAUUUCUGUAGGCACUUACUCUUUUCACUCACUCUCAUCCCAUCUGAUUUAAUUGUUUGCUUUCUUCUGCAGAGAAAAUCUGCUGUUGCCUGCUGCUUGGGGAUUUUACAUAAGGUUCAGUAAGUCCUUCUGACUGUACUGGAUUUUACGAAUUGUAAAAUAAGCUGAAGAUAUUUUUUAUUCAGUUAGAAGCAGCUGUAUGUGGGAAAGGACUGGCGUACAAGAAAUGGCCAGUAACUACAAGCCAGGUCACGCCUUGAGGUGUUAUUUCUUGUGAUUGCUAUUUAUAUUUCAGUGCAGACUGGAGUCUUUCUUUUGACCAAGGCAUAACAUUUCCACUACAGGCAAUAGCCAGCUAAUGCUCCAGCCGUUCUGCAAAUAAGUUAAUCCAGUGUUUGGAUUUAGUUCCUCCUCCUAGAGCUAGAAACAGAAUGGAGGUGUUUAUUAUACAGACUCAAUACUCAUCCACAAUAACUGUUGGAGUAAAUAAAGUGUCAAAUGUAUGCACUGAGCAAUGCUAUUUAUGUUAUCUAGACAAGUUGAGAAUGCAUCGUUAUGCUGUACUGCUCUUUCCCAGAUCCAAGAAAGUGAACCACAAAUCUUUCUGCUGUUAUCUAGCAAUUAUUUGCGUACCGCUUUUGCAUCAAUAGCACUGGGAAUGGAACAUUUUUUUUCUGUUGUCAUAUAUAUCCUGACACACUGCAUGUCCUGAAGGUCAGGAUUCAAAACAUUCUGGGAAUUUUUAUCUAGGUUGAAAACAUUGACCAUUUUUUACAUCUCAAAUAAAGAAAAAAAAGUGUAAGGAAAGUGUGACAAAAAAAUAAGUUCCUGUUAUAAUUUUAAAUUAAAAUUUCUUAUACAAUGAUUCAAUUUAACCACUCAAAUAAUGCAAUUUGGCCAAUCAAACCAGACUACUGAGUAUUCUGAGAUUUCAAAGCUCACCUUUGAUGUUGUUUUAAGACAAAUAUAACACACCUGUGAGGACUAUUCACUGAUACUGUCUUUCAUUGGAGAUUGAGCAGCUUACCUGUUUAGUAGUUAGGAAUUAGGAGUUAAAAAUUCAAUACAUUGCAUGUUUUGGUGGGAAUAGGUGGAAUAUUUAUGAUUAAAGACUUUUGUUUUGGAAGUGAAAAAACUGCAAAGCCUUCAAAUUCUUAUCUUAAUGAUACAUCGAGGUGAACUUGACCUACAACGUGAAAUUUGAAACUGAAUCACAACUGAGCAAAAGGACCCGGAGUUGCUUGGGUCAAGGUCCAGAAUCAGAUUUUGCUUGAAUGAAACCUGACUCCUGAAGAAGGGCUGCACACCCUGGGGGUUUGGAUUGGGUGAUGCUCUGUGGUUAGACUGGAUCCCAGCCCACCUUUAAUGGCUGCUCUCAAAAGCAGUGAUUCUUGGGCAGAGUGCUGAACUUUCCUGGUGGUUUUAUUGACAUCAAACCAGCAAACAAAAGACAGCUUCAUCACAAAGGCAGCAUUUUAGUUUCCAAAACAGUAAAAUGUACUUUAACUUGAUGUAUGUAGCUGCUGCUUUAGUUUUGCCUUGAUUUUAAGGUAAAGGCUUAUGCAAGUGUCUGUAAAAGGCUGCUAAUUGUUUGAAAUAACAGCUGAGGCAGCUUUCUUCUGCAGUGUGGUCUAUUUUAGCAUUAUAAGUUUGCUUUGGAUGGGAGUUCCUCUAUUAGGGAAGGGUUAUUUUCAUUCUCUGAAUUUCUGUGAAGAAAGAAAUCAGCAUUUUCAGCAUUUAAAUGUCUUCCGGGCAGUAGCUAUUUAUCACACGAGACAGUAUUUCAGGACAUCUUUAUUUUCUCUGAGAAACUGCAAAAAUACAGUGCAAUGCCAGUUAUUGCUGGAUGCGCAUGCAGAGCAAUAUUGUUCUGUUGCCUGGUAACUGGUGAGAGGGAGGCACUUUGGAAACAUGAGAGAAAAAGAGAAAGAGAAAGCUCAACUGCACGCACUUGAGCAGAAGACUUAAAAAACUGGUGUUUGUUCCAGAGAGGAGGAGCUGACUGGGAGAAUGAAGAAUGGAAGGAUUUUUUUUUUUUUUUUUUAAUAUGAAAAUGAGUAAGAGGACUGCCAGCUGGAACAGCUUUGCUUUCCCAACCUGCUGAUACCUUUACUUGUAGGCAAAAAGGUAUAUACUGAGAGUACUAUAUGAUUUCUUGUAAUUCAGAAAAACGACUGC